GGGCGCAAGCCUGAUGCAGCGACGCCGCGUGCGGGAUGACGGCCUUCGGGUUGUAAACCGCUUUUGACUGGGAGCAAGCCCUUCGGGGUGAGUGUACCUUUCGAAUAAGCACCGGCUAACUACGUGCCAGCAGCCGCGGUAAUACGUAGGGUGCAAGCGUUAUCCGGAAUUAUUGGGCGUAAAGGGCUCGUAGGCGGUUCGUCGCGUCCGGUGUGAAAGUCCAUCGCUUAACGGUGGAUCCGCGCCGGGUACGGGCGGGCUUGAGUGCGGUAGAGGAGACUGGAAUUCCCGGUGUAACGGUGGAAUGUGUAGAUAUCGGGAAGAACACC
Molecule: ribosomal RNA, 329 nt
Filed under: uncultured bacterium
Lineage: Bacteria
Description: bacterial SSU rRNA
Rfam family: Bacterial small subunit ribosomal RNA
Source: RNAcentral